GAUACCCUAUUAUUUGAAAUGUGAAUUAUUUAACUAGGAUUAUUAUGAGUUAAGGUCUUUAAAAUUAAAAAAUUUGGCGGUAUUUUAGUCUAUUCAGAGGAACCUGUUUUUUAAUUGAUAGUCCACGAUGAUUUUUACCUUAUCUUUAAAUUUACAUAUCGUCGUUUAUAAAAAUUUUAGGAGAAUUUGAAUUUUUAAGAUUUUAAAUUUUAAAGUAGUUCAGAUCAAGGUGUAGUUUAUGUUAAGGUUAAAAUGGGUUACAUUAAAUUUAUUUUUGGAUUUAAAUUUUUGAAAUUUAAUUAAAAUGGAUUUGAUAGUAAAUUUUUUAUCUAUGGAAGUUGAUUUAGCUCUAAAAUAUGCACACAUCGCC
This 370-nucleotide ribosomal RNA is filed under the name Allophylax picipes. RNAcentral's name for it is "partial 12S ribosomal RNA". Lineage: Eukaryota; Metazoa; Arthropoda; Insecta; Coleoptera; Tenebrionidae. The record is from RNAcentral.